Molecule: ribosomal RNA, 619 nt
Filed under: Bacillus subtilis
Lineage: Bacteria; Bacillati; Bacillota; Bacilli; Caryophanales; Bacillaceae
Description: bacterial SSU rRNA
Rfam family: Bacterial small subunit ribosomal RNA
Source: RNAcentral
CGGUUUCUUAAGUCUGAUGUGAAAUCCCCCGGCUCAACCGGGGAGGUGUCAUUGGAAACUGGGGAGACUUGAGUGCUGAAGAGGAGAGUGGAAUUCCACGUGUAGCGGUGAAAUGCGUAGAGAUGUGGAGGAACACCAGUGGCGAAGGCGACUCUCUGGUCUGUAACUGACGCUGAGGAGCGAAAGCGUGGGGAGCGAACAGGAUUAGAUACCCUGGUAGUCCACGCCGUAAACGAUGACUGCUUGGAGGUAGGGGGCUUCCGCCCCUUAUUGCUGAACCUAACGCAUUAAUCACUCCGCCGGGGGAGUACGGUCGCAAGACUGAAACUCAAUGGAAUUGACGGGGGCCCGCACAAGCGGGGAACCUGGUGGUUUAUUUCAUACCACCGCGAAAAACCUUACCACGCCUUGACUUCCUCUGACUUUCCUGAGGAGAGGAGGUCCCCUUCGGAGGUCUAAUGACAGGGGUUGCAGGGUUGUCGUCAGCUCUGGUCGUGAGAGGUUGGGUUAAGUCCCGCAACGACCGCACCCCUAGAUCUUAUUUGCCAGCAUUCAGUUGGGCACUCUAAGGAGACUGCCGGUGACAAACUGGAGGAAGGUGGGGAUGACGUCAAAUCAU